UCGAAUAAUGUUUAUAUUAAACUUUGUCAUGUUAUUGCAAUUCAAAAUAAAAAAAUUGGAAGGAGUAAUUCUCUUUUAGUCCAUAACUUUUUGUUUUUUCUUGGAAGAAAUUCUUAUAAUAUAAAUAAUAAUGAAUCGUUUCAGUAUGAUUAAUUUAAAAAAUACUCCCUUUUGUUAUUAUUUCUUUGAAUUUUGAAGCAAGCCGCCCGGAGCUUUUCAAGUUGCAUCUUUGGACUUAAUCCAUUGUUGGUCCCUGUACUAUAAGUAAAUUAUCACUUUGAUCUUUUUACUUUUUUUUGGUCACUUUUUAUUCCAUCUAUUUUAUUCCGUCAUUUAAUUUAGCUUUUUGUUGAGAAGAUUUAAUAAUCUCAACACUUGCAAUUGCAGGUAGGACCUACAGUUCAAAUGCAUCUUGGGCAAACCUUGGGCACUCGUUCCGUCAAAUAUUAUUUAUAUUUUGGUGAUUUUAAAACUUAAGGUUGUUAAAGGUUGCACUUAUAGUUAAUCAAUCAUCAAAUAUUAUUUAUAUUUUGGUCACAUGAGAAAUAUAUUUAUACUUUGAAAUAGUGAAUAUUGUCUCGGAUUGAAUCAGUUAUAGUUGGCAUGUCAUAUGAUUAGUGUACAAGAUUUUUCUUCGAUUUAUACUAAUGAGGUGUGAAGCGCAAUAUUUCUGAACGUAUCAAUGAUACACUUGGUGCUAGUUAUAUUGGUGUGAUGGUUGGAU
Molecule: long non-coding RNA, 724 nt
Filed under: Gossypium barbadense (sea-island cotton)
Lineage: Eukaryota; Viridiplantae; Streptophyta; Magnoliopsida; Malvales; Malvaceae
Description: long non-coding RNA (GBAR_LNC019063)
Source: RNAcentral